RNAcentral lists this long non-coding RNA (289 nucleotides) under Gossypium raimondii (Peruvian cotton). RNAcentral's name for it is "long non-coding RNA (GRAI_LNC009615)". The record is from RNAcentral. Lineage: Eukaryota; Viridiplantae; Streptophyta; Magnoliopsida; Malvales; Malvaceae.
AAAAUGCUAAAAAAGGGGUUAAAUCGAAGUAAAAGCACGAUAUACGGGGCGAAAUCGAAAUAAAAAAAAAGAUAAAAGGGACUAAAUUGUGAUGCGCUGAGAGAGAGGGGACCAAAACUGCAAAUAAUCCAUAGCACCAAAACGCAGGGUUGAAAUGGACCAAAUUGAAGCAAAAACAAAAUUACGGGGCAAAAUUAAAAAUAAAAGAAAAUAAUGAAAAAGGGGCAAAUUGUAACGCGUCGCAAAUAGAGGGGACUAAGCACGCAAAUAUCUCCCUUUUAGAAAACAC